This 3107-nucleotide long non-coding RNA is filed under the name Homo sapiens (human). RNAcentral describes it as "HSALNT0300270". The record is from RNAcentral. Lineage: Eukaryota; Metazoa; Chordata; Mammalia; Primates; Hominidae.
CCAGAAAUGAAAAACUAAAGACCCGUUCCCAUCCCAGCAGGUAACUGUCAUUCAUGGGCUGUGCAAAAUACAUCUCACAUUUUUAAGUGCAGAACAAAAUGAAUAAAGUCAAUUUGGAAUUUAGUAAAAACUCCCUGGUAUGCAUUUUAAGACCUUGAGCUGUAUACUGCAAUGAAUCUAAAUUUAGAGACGGAAAAUUAGAACAAAGCCACCUAUUUAUUAACUCAGCACUUUACAAGGAGCUGUGGUUGUGUUUUGGGUAGGAUCACUGGACAGUUGAUGCACGUUACUGUCCUUUUGAAACCAUAAAAGUUACGUUUUCUUAAGCAUCUGCCUUUGAUGAACUUUCCUACGGGCUCUAUUUUAAGAGUUGUGUUUCCCUCUCAUCCUAUUUCUAUACUACAUAGAUAUUUCCAGGGUUUUACACUCUUCCUUUAUGGAAACAACUUGAUUUAACCAUGAUUUAUUUCAGUGUUCCUCAGGUACAGCAGAAUUACUGGCUGCCAAUUAUCCCUUUAUUAAGGGAUACUCCAUGGUUUAUUUUAAAAGCAUUUCUCCUUGUAGUGAAGCUGAUACAACAAAAAGGCCUUUGUGGUAGUCAGGGUGAUCUUAAACAAGAGGUAUGCUGGACACUAAAAGCCGAGUGGCUUCCUUACUUGGAAACAAAUGGUGAAUGUUGCAAAAAGAUAUGGACUCAGAAGUGGUCCUUCUUGCUACUGACUGAGAUGGAAGAACAUCCAUUAAGUAGUAUGGCGCUGAGAGGUGUGACCCAAUGCUUAAUCAGAAUAAAGAUGGUGAAAGUGGGCAUGUGUCUCCCUAGGUAGCCAAUUCUUGAAUUUUGCAAACUUUAAAAGUCAACUAAGUGUCUGAAGAGGGCAAAUGGAAAGCAGAAGUCUUCAUUCAUUCAUUCAUCCAUCCAUCCUGUUUAAAAGAUCUGUCCUAUUGUUAUUUAGGUGACAUUGAGAUUAAGCCAGAGUUUAGAUAUUUACUCAUGUUUCACUGCAAUUCCUCAACAUCACAUAGUCAGUGGGUAAGGAACGGUGGACCGAAGGGUCAGAUGGCCACUGUAUGUACUCAUUCACCUUGGUCAAGUUCUUUAGUGUCUCUAGGGCCUCAGUUUCCCUGUCCUCAAGUUGCUCAUAGUCCAGUCUGGGAGAUAGAGAACAACCAAACAAUGACUCAAAGAAAACAGACCAAAUUGCAGCUGCUGAGAGCUUCAGAGGACCAGAGCAUGGUGCUCUGAGAGGCUGCCACAGGGAUCUGGUUGGGAGAGCAGGAGAGCUUCCAGGAGGAAAUGAUGCUGAACUGAGAUCUGGAGGACAGGUAUGAGCUAAGGGGGAAAGUGAUCAGGAAAAGGCAAUCUCAGCCAAGGGAGGAGCCUCGACAAAGGUCCUGUGGUCAGAGGGGGAAGAUGAAUGUGAGGGAUGCGAGGCCAGUGUGUCUGAAGGGCUGAGUAAGUGGCAGGGACCAGAAUGCAUAGGGUCAUAUAGGCCAAGUUCAGAAGUUUUUUAAGAGCCACAGAAAGCCAGUGAACAGGCCUCAAGAUGUGUGUGUGUAUGUACGUGUGUGCAUGUAUGUGUGUGCAUGUGCAUGUAUGUGUGUGCAUGUGCAUGUAUGUGUGUGCAUGUACACGUACAUGUGUAUGCAUGUAUGUGUAUGCAUGUACAUGUGUGAAUGUAUGUGUGUGCAUGUAUGUGUGUGCAUGUACGUGUGUGCAUGUAUGUGUAUGUGUGUACGUGUGUGAAUGUAUGUGUGCACAUUUAAGUGUGUGUGCAUGUACAUGUGUGUGCAUGUGUGCAUGUACGUGUGUGAAUGUAUGUGUGUGCACAUUUAAGUGUGUGUGUAUGUACGUGUGUGCAUGUGUGUGUGCAUGUACGUGCAUGUGCAUGUAUGUGUGUGCACGCACAUGUGUGUGCAUGUAAGCGUGUGCAUGUGCAUGUAUGUGUGCAUGUAUGUGUGUGUGCAUGUAUGUGUGUGCGUGUAUGUGUGUGAAUGUAUGUGUGCACAUUUGAGUGUGUGUGCAUGUACGUGUGUGCAUGUACAUGUAUGUGUGUGUGUGCACAUGUAUGCGUGUAGGUAGGCUGGGUGAGGACCCGAGAGCAUGAUGUAAUGCAUGCUUGGUAGAAUCACUGUGGCCACAGGUAAGAGAGAGCUGAGGGGAGGCAGGCAGAUCUGGCAAGAGUCUCCUCAGCUGUCCAGGUUAAAGGUAACGGUAACUUGUGCAAAGGUGGUGGUAUAGGAUUGGAGAGAAAUGCAUGGAUUUGAAGACGUUUGAAAGUCAAGCUCAGGACUAGUUCAUGGUUGGAUUACGGGCAGCCGGGAACUGAGGGGUAAAGAAGACCUGUGGGCUCUGACACCAGAAGUGGAUAAAUGUGGGGCCAUCCCUGACCAAGCCUGGGAGACCUGGAAGUGGACAAGGAUUCAGAGAAGGAGAUUAGGUGUUUGGGUUAAGUGUUGGGUGUUUGCUGAGUUGCCUUUGGGAAGCCCUAAAGAAGAGGACCUGGGCUUGAACCUUGAGUCGCUGCAGCGCUGACUGGCUUGGAGAAGGUCUGUGAAGGCUGCAGACAAGGCCAGGCCGGUGAGGUAGCUGCUGGACAGAGUAAAAGAGGGUUUCUCAGGGGGAAAUGUGGUCCACAGUGUUGAAUGCCACCAGGAAGUUAAGUGAGAUGCGGGAGAGAAAUUUGGGGUUGGAGGUAGAGAUACUGAAGACUUUGGCCAUUUUUGAUCAUACCAGGACUUUAUACAACACAAUUAUCAGGUCAUAUCAGAAAAGAUUGCUUCUGAUGGAGACAGGAUUAAAUAAGACAACCUCAGCAAAGUGCUGGUACAUUGGAAACACUCAACACUCAUACAUAGAGAAUUAUCUGUCUCUUGUUUCUAUAAGAAAGAGAAUUCGUAGCAGGUUUCUGCCAGGUCUGUUCACCUUGGCCCUGUGGACAUCCUGGGCUGAAUGAUUCCAGCCUGGGGUGUGCUGUGCAUUGUAGGAUGUCCAGCAGCAUCCCUGGCCUUAUCCAGGAGAUGCCAAUACAUGCCCCUAAGAUGUGGCACAAAAAGUGACAUUGAGAAAUGCCUCUGGGAAGGAGGCGCAAAAUUGCCCCCAGUUUAUU